AUGGCUGCGGUAUCUUGACCGUGCAAAGGUAGCAUAAUCAUUAGUUUAUUAAUUGUGGACUUGUAUGAAUGGCUUGAUGAAAUAUUAGCUGUCUUUAUAAUAUGAAUGGAACUUAAUUUUUUGGUUAAAAAGCCUAACUUUAUUUAAGGGACGAGAAGACCCUAUAGAUCUUUAUUUUAUAGACUUUUUUUUUAUUAUGUUUUAUUUGAAAUUUUUAUUAAAUUUUGUUGGGGUGACAUGGAGAUAUUUAAAACUCUUUUUUAUUAUUUCAUUAAUUUAUGUUUUUUAUUAAUAUUUAUUAUAUGUUUAGAAUUAGAUACCUUAGGGAUAACAGCGUAAUUUAACUUGAGAGUUCAUAUUGACAGUUAAGAUUGCGACCUCGAUGUUGGAUUAAGGAUAAAUUUUGGUGUAGAAGUCAAUUUUUUUGGUCUGUUCGACCUUUAAAUUCUUACAUGAUCUGAGUUCAAAACCGGAGAA
This 477-nucleotide ribosomal RNA is filed under the name Dinophasma sp. SB0129. Its description in RNAcentral is "partial 16S ribosomal RNA". It matches the Rfam family "Bacterial large subunit ribosomal RNA", at positions 1927 to 2625 of the family's 2925-position model. Lineage: Eukaryota; Metazoa; Arthropoda; Insecta; Phasmatodea; Aschiphasmatidae. The record is from RNAcentral.